This 466-nucleotide ribosomal RNA is filed under the name uncultured bacterium. RNAcentral's name for it is "partial 16S ribosomal RNA". It matches the Rfam family "Bacterial small subunit ribosomal RNA", at positions 28 to 507 of the family's 1533-position model. The record is from RNAcentral.
GACGAACGCUGGCGGCGUGCUUAACACAUGCAAGUCGAACGGAAAGGCCCUGCUUGCAGGGUACUCGAGUGGCGAACGGGUGAGUAACACGUGGGUGAUCUGCCCUGCACUUCGGGAUAAGCUUGGGAAACUGGGUCUAAUACCGGAUAGGAGCCAUCUUUAGUGUGGUGGUUGGAAAGUUUUUUCGGUGUAGGAUGAGCUCGCGGCCUAUCAGCUUGUUGGUGGGGUAAUGGCCUACCAAGGCGGCGACGGGUAGCCGGCCUGAGAGGGUGUACGGCCACAUUGGGACGGAGAUACGGCCCAGACUCCUACGGGAGGCAGCAGUGGGGAAUAUUGCACAAUGGGCGCAAGCCUGAUGCAGCGACGCCGCGUGGGGGAUGAAGGCCUUCGGGUUGUAAACUCCUUUCGCUAGGGACGAAGCGUUUUUGUGACGGUACCUAGAGAAGAAGCACCGGCUAACUACGUG